Molecule: transfer RNA, 74 nt
Filed under: Patescibacteria group bacterium
Lineage: Bacteria
Description: tRNA-Thr
Rfam family: tRNA
About the family: Transfer RNA (tRNA) molecules are approximately 80 nucleotides in length. Their secondary structure includes four short double-helical elements and three loops (D, anti-codon, and T loops).
Source: RNAcentral
GCCUCCUUAGCUUAGUGGCAAAGCAAUGCUUUCGUAAAGCAAAGACGCCAGUUCGAUUCUGGCAGGAGGCUCCA